RNAcentral lists this ribosomal RNA (866 nucleotides) under uncultured Actinobacteridae bacterium. RNAcentral describes it as "bacterial SSU rRNA". It matches the Rfam family "Bacterial small subunit ribosomal RNA", at positions 1 to 876 of the family's 1533-position model. The record is from RNAcentral. Lineage: Bacteria; Bacillati; Actinomycetota; Actinomycetes.
CCCUUAGAGUUUGAUCCUGGCUCAGGACGAACGCUGGCGGCGUGCUUAACACAUGCAAGUCGAACGAUGAACACCGGAGCUUGCUCUGGUGGGAUUAGUGGCGAACGGGUGAGUAACACGUGAGCAAUCUGCCCCCGACUCUGGGAUAAGCGUUGGAAACGACGUCUAAUACCGGAUACGACACCUCCUGGCAUCAGGUGGGUGUGGAAAGAAUUUCGGUUGGGGAUGAGCUCGCGGCCUAUCAGCUUGUUGGUGAGGUAACGGCUCACCAAGGCGACGACGGGUAGCCGGCCUGAGAGGGUGACCGGCCACACUGGGACUGAGACACGGCCCAGACUCCUACGGGAGGCAGCAGUGGGGAAUAUUGCACAAUGGGCGCAAGCCUGAUGCAGCAACGCCGCGUGGGGGACGAAGGCCUUCGGGUUGUAAACCCCUUUUAGCAGGGAAGAAGCGCAAGUGACGGUACCUGCAGAAAAAGCACCGGCUAACUACGUGCCAGCAGCCGCGGUAAUACGUAGGGUGCAAGCGUUGUCCGGAAUUAUUGGGCGUAAAGAGCUCGUAGGCGGUGUGUCGCGUCUGCUGUGAAAAUCCAAGGCUCAACCUUGGACCUGCAGUGGGUACGGGCACACUAGAGUGCGGUAGGGGAGAUUGGAAUUCCUGGUGUAGCGGUGGAAUGCGCAGAUAUCAGGAGGAACACCGAUGGCGAAGGCAGAUCUCUGGGCCGUAACUGACGCUGAGGAGCGAAAGCGUGGGGAGCGAACAGGAUUAGAUACCCUGGUAGUCCACGCCGUAAACGGUGGGAACUAGAUGUGGGGUCCGUUCCACGGAUUCCGUGUCGCAGCUAACGCAUUAAGUUCCCCGCCUGG